Molecule: long non-coding RNA, 179 nt
Organism: Octopus sinensis (East Asian common octopus)
Lineage: Eukaryota; Metazoa; Mollusca; Cephalopoda; Octopoda; Octopodidae
Exons: 4
Source: RefSeq, a predicted model, not a curated record
CACAAUGUUUUGGUUGAUAUACCCUCCAGCCUUCAUCAAGUGUCUUGGGGAAAUUUCAAAUCUGGUUUCUCAUUCUGAAGGUAUUUUUUGAUGUUGUUGUUAUUAUUAUUAUUUGGGUCACUGCCAGAAAUCGAACUCGUAAUCUUGGGGUCAGUUCCCCGCACCCUUAACUACUACAC